Molecule: ribosomal RNA, 775 nt
Filed under: uncultured Neocallimastigales
Lineage: Eukaryota; Fungi; Neocallimastigomycota; Neocallimastigomycetes; Neocallimastigales
Description: partial large subunit ribosomal RNA
Rfam family: Eukaryotic large subunit ribosomal RNA
Source: RNAcentral
GUACACGCUGUGACUAGCAUAUCAAUAAGCGGAGGAAAAGAAACUAACAAGGAUUCCCCUAGUAACGGCGAGUGAAGCGGGAAGAGCUCAAAUUUGAAAUCUUAAAGGGUUUCCCUUUACGAAUUGUAGUUUAAAGAAGUGUUUUCUGUUGAGGUUUUGGUAAAAGUUCUUUGGAAUAGGACAUCAUAGAGGGUGAGAAUCCCGUAUUUGACCUUUACUUUCAACUUUGUGAUACACUUUUCAAAGAGUCGGAUUGUUUGGGAAUGCAGUCCAAAAUGGGUGGUAAAUUUCAUCUAAAGCUAAAUAUUGGCGAGAGACCGAUAGCGAACAAGUACCGUGAGGGAAAGAUGAAAAGAACUUUGAAAAGAGAGUUAAACAGUACGUGAAAUUGUCAAAAGGGAAGCGUUUGACACCAGUGUUGUUUUUCUGAAAAUCAAUUAAAGAACUGUUUAUGCUAAGCUGUUUAGACUUUAUCAGCUAUCUGUUUAGUUCUAGGCUUUUCUUUAAUGCACUUUUCAGUUAACAAGUCAACAUCAAUUUCUUUUGCUGUAAAAAAGCUUGAGGAAGGUGGCUUGAGAUUCGUCUUAAGUGUUUAUAGCCUCUUGCCUAUGCAGUCGGAGAGAUUGAGGUCUGCAGCGUAGAUCCUUCGGGGCUAAAUGCAUUUGUGCUAAGUUAUAGCAUUUUAUAGACAACUUGUUGACUAUGAUUUGUCUUGUAGCUUACUCGCUUAUGUUAUUUUACCUACGCUUAGGAUGUUGAGCGCAUGUCUCUCUCU